CCGAGGGUCUGGUCACUACCACUGCCGCUGCUCUUGGAGGCCCUACGGCAGGGGCUGUAGGCCACCGCCCGAAAAGCGGAUGAUGCGGAAGGUCUUUCGUCUUGAGAUGCUACAGUUCCACUUAAAUGCUGGAAACCAGCAGGGAGAUGCUGAAUAUAACUGAGGAAAUGUUUGGUGAUGCCACAUCAUGGUGUUUAGAGGGGACAUACAGUUUUGGACUCCUGGUGAACAGGCUCAACUGCUAAACCAAAAGGUUGGAGGUUUGAGACCACCGAGAAAUACCUCAGAAGAAAAGUCCAGUUAUCUGCUUCUCAAAA
Molecule: long non-coding RNA, 317 nt
Organism: Echinops telfairi (small Madagascar hedgehog)
Lineage: Eukaryota; Metazoa; Chordata; Mammalia; Afrosoricida; Tenrecidae
Exons: 3
Source: RefSeq, a predicted model, not a curated record